AUAGUUGAAACUUGAUACAAGAAACUUGAAGCUGCAUUUAGCAUAGCCUAUGAAACAGGAGCAGGUGUGAUUGAGGUAAUUGAGGUAACAGGUAACCUUGUGAUGGACGUCAACAGACAUCUCUUUAAAUAACUUUACUGUCUGUGACUUCUUCAUUGUAGUGGAACCAACCACAUUGCAUUGCUCAUCAUCAAUCUGUUAAAAAAAACCCAGCUAUUGUGAAGACACUAAACUAAGAGCACAAAGAUUUUUUUUCUUCACUUUUAUUACACUUAUAUUAAAUGAAACGUUGUUAUGGAUGGUAAAGGGCUUCUUACUCUGGAAAUGUUUCAUCUGACUUUCAAUCCCACAAAAGAUUUUACAUGGAAUUAUGAAGAAUUACAUUGAAUUAAAGUUAUAUUGAAGGCAAUUAGGUUGGUCUUGUACAGCACCAAAGUUUUAAAUAGUUUGAAUUAUUACGGUGUUGCACUAACAGUGUGUUACUUACGUGAGGGUUUAUUAAAGCGUAGACUAAGCAUUGCAUAUAGGAGAAGAAGGAUGGUUUGUGUGGUUUUUAUCCUUACACCUCAUGGUAAGCUAUUUUGUUGCUCUGAUUGGUUAGGUCUAUCCAAUUGAGUGCAGAGGCAUUCUCCCCCUGUAUCGGUUGAAACACGACCCAU
This is a long non-coding RNA of Alosa alosa (allis shad), 659 nucleotides long. RefSeq lists it as uncharacterized. NCBI's taxonomy places the organism in Eukaryota, Metazoa, Chordata, Actinopteri, Clupeiformes, Clupeidae. The transcript has 3 exons. The record is from RefSeq and is a predicted model, not a curated record.